RNAcentral lists this long non-coding RNA (312 nucleotides) under Phoenix dactylifera (date palm). RNAcentral describes it as "long non-coding RNA (PDAC_LNC012916)". Lineage: Eukaryota; Viridiplantae; Streptophyta; Magnoliopsida; Arecales; Arecaceae. The record is from RNAcentral.
UCUGAGAAGGGAGAAAUCGUUGUAACAUGGAUGAAAUAUUCGUAAGCUGAGACUGCAAAUUUGCUUAGUUUUGCUUCAGCUCCUCAAUAGUUGCUUGAAGAUGACAAACUUCUGCAGUGUUACUAGAUUCUCUGGCAUUUCUUGUAUAUGUGCCCACUGAAGACAACUGAGUGGGGGUAACUCCAACGCCGUAACCCCUCACUCGACCAUAACGCUCUGGGCCCAUCAAUUCAGCGAGCACUUGAGCUUCAAUAUUAUGGGUCGUGUCGGAUGAUGAUGACCCCCCGACGCGCUCCGAAAUAAGAUUUGUUG